RNAcentral lists this unclassified non-coding RNA (315 nucleotides) under plant metagenome. RNAcentral's name for it is "partial contains 5.8S ribosomal RNA, internal transcribed spacer 2, and large subunit ribosomal RNA". The stretch from base 1 to 105 matches the Rfam family "5.8S ribosomal RNA", at positions 50 to 154 of the family's 154-position model. The record is from RNAcentral.
GAACUGCGAUAAGUAAUGUGAAUUGCAGAAUUCAGUGAAUCAUCGAGUCUUUGAACGCACAUUGCGCCCCCUGGCAUUCCGGGGGGCAUGCCUGUCCGAGCGUCAUUGCUGCCCUUCAAGCCCGGCUUGUGUGUUGGGUCGUCGUCCCCUCCGGGGGACGGGCCCGAAAGGCAGCGGCGGCACCGCGUCCGGUCCUCGAGCGUAUGGGGCUUUGUCACCCGCUCGAUAAGGACCGGCCGGGCGCCAGCCGGCGUCUCCAACCUUUUUUUCUCAGGUUUACCUCGGAUCAGGUAGGGAUACCCGCUGAACUUAAGC